CAAUAGCGUAUAUUAAAGUUGUUGCAGUUAAAAGCUCGUAGUUGAACUUCUGGCUAUCCUUGCAGCUGGCUUCGGUCGUUGUAAGGGUGGUCAUCCGCUUGGGAACUACGUUCGAACUUCACUGUUCGGCGUAAGGAACAGGCAAUUUACUUAGAAAAAUUAGAGUGUUCAAGGCAGGCUAUCGCCCUGAAUACACAAGCUUGGAAUAAUGAAAUAGGACUAUUUCCAUUUUAUUGGUUAUUGGAAUUAGUAAUGAUUAAUAGGGACAGUUGGGGAUAUUAGUAUUUAAUUGUCAGAGGUGAAAUUCUUGGAUUUAUUAAAGACUAACUUAUGCGAAAGCAUUUAUCAAGGAUGUUUUCAUUAAUCAAGAACGAAAGUUAGGGGAUCAAAGAUGAUUAGAUACCAU
Molecule: ribosomal RNA, 406 nt
Filed under: uncultured eukaryote
Lineage: Eukaryota
Description: SSU rRNA
Rfam family: Eukaryotic small subunit ribosomal RNA
Source: RNAcentral